Molecule: microRNA precursor, 124 nt
Filed under: Brassica oleracea var. oleracea
Lineage: Eukaryota; Viridiplantae; Streptophyta; Magnoliopsida; Brassicales; Brassicaceae
Description: MIR9563 microRNA precursor family
Rfam family: MIR9563 microRNA precursor family
Source: Rfam by way of RNAcentral
GGAAGUUAAGAAACUGUUUCUUAACUUUUAACUAAAAAAACUAAGAACCGGUUCUUAAAGUCCUUAUUUAAAAACCGGUUCUUAGCUUUUUAGUUAAAAGUUAAGAAACAGUUUAUUAACUUCC